RNAcentral lists this ribosomal RNA (497 nucleotides) under uncultured bacterium. RNAcentral describes it as "partial 16S ribosomal RNA". It matches the Rfam family "Bacterial small subunit ribosomal RNA", at positions 38 to 507 of the family's 1533-position model. The record is from RNAcentral.
GGGGGGGGGGGGGGGCGGGCCGGGGGCGUGCGAGUCGAGCGGACGGACGGGGGGCUGGCUUUUCUGAUGUUAGCGGGGGACGGGUGAGUAACACGUGGAUAACCUACCUAUAAGACUGGGAUAACUUCGGGAAACCGGAGCUAAUACCGGAUAAUAUUUUGAACCGCAUGGUUCAAAAGUGAAAGACGGUCUUGCUGUCACUUAUAGAUGGAUCCGCGCUGCAUUAGCUAGUUGGUAAGGUAACGGCUUACCAAGGCAACGAUGCAUAGCCGACCUGAGAGGGUGAUCGGCCACACUGGAACUGAGACACGGUCCAGACUCCUACGGGAGGCAGCAGUAGGGAAUCUUCCGCAAAGGGCGAAAGCCUGACGGAGCAACGCCGCGUGAGUGAUGAAGGUCUUCGGAUCGUAAAACUCUGUUAUUAGGGAAGAACAUAUGUGUAAGUAACUGUGCACAUCUUGACGGUACCUAAUCAGAAAGCCACGGCUAACUACGUG